GACGAACGCUGGCGGCGUGCCUAAUACAUGCAAGUAGAACGCAGUUGCGAACGGGUGAGUAACGCGUAGGUAACCUGCCCUCCUUUUUGGGAUAAGCCUUGGAAACGGGGUCUAAUACCGGAUAAAGGGGGAUGGGCUCGCGGCCUAUCAGCUGGUUGGUGGGGUGAUGGCCUAACAAGGCGGUGACGGGUAGCCGGCAUGAGAGGGUGGACGGGAACUGUGGGACGGACAGACGGCCCAGAGGACGACGGGGGGGGGAAGUGGGGGAUAUGGCACAAUGGGCGAAAGACUCAUGCAGCGAGGCGGAGUGGGGGAUGAAGGCUUUAGGGUUGUAAACCUCGGGAGGUAGCGAACGGGUAGGUGGAGAAGAAGCGCCGGCUAACUACGUGCCAGCAGCCGCGGUAAUUC
RNAcentral lists this ribosomal RNA (408 nucleotides) under uncultured bacterium. RNAcentral describes it as "partial 16S ribosomal RNA". It matches the Rfam family "Bacterial small subunit ribosomal RNA", at positions 28 to 526 of the family's 1533-position model. The record is from RNAcentral.